RNAcentral lists this ribosomal RNA (253 nucleotides) under uncultured prokaryote. Its description in RNAcentral is "partial 16S ribosomal RNA". It matches the Rfam family "Bacterial small subunit ribosomal RNA", at positions 524 to 776 of the family's 1533-position model. The record is from RNAcentral.
UACAGAGGGUGCAAGCGUUAAUCGGAAUUACUGGGCGUAAAGCGUGCGCAGACGGUCUCGUAAGUCGGGUGUGAAAUCCCCGGGCUCAACCUGGGAAUUGCAUUCGAAACUGCGAGGCUAGGGUACGGAAGAGGGAAGCGGAAUUUCUGGUGUAGCGGUGAAAUGCGUAGAUAUCAGGAGGAACACCGAUGGCGAAGGCAGGUCUCUGGGCAUUAACUGACGCUGAGGAGCGAAAGCAUGGGGAGCGAACAGG